Molecule: ribosomal RNA, 468 nt
Filed under: uncultured bacterium
Lineage: Bacteria
Description: partial 16S ribosomal RNA
Rfam family: Bacterial small subunit ribosomal RNA
Source: RNAcentral
GACGAACGCUGGCGGCGUGCUUAACACAUGCAAGUCGAACGGAAAGGCCCUGCUUUUGUGGGGUGCUCGAGUGGCGAACGGGUGAGUAACACGUGAGUAACCUGCCCUUGACUUUGGGAUAACUUCAGGAAACUGGGGCUAAUACCGGAUAGGAGCUCCUGCUGCAUGGUGGGGGUUGGAAAGUUUCGGCGGUUGGGGAUGGACUCGCGGCUUAUCAGCUUGUUGGUGGGGUAGUGGCUUACCAAGGCUUUGACGGGUAGCCGGCCUGAGAGGGUGACCGGCCACCUUGGGACUGAGAUACGGCCCAGACUCCUACGGGAGGCAGCAGUGGGGAAUAUUGCACAAUGGGCGGAAGUCUGAUGCAGCAACGUCGCGUGGGGGAUGACGGCCUUCGGGUUGUAAACCGCGUUCGCCUGUGACGAAGCGUGAGUGACGGUAAUGGGUAAAGAAGCACCGGCUAACUACGUG